This 253-nucleotide ribosomal RNA is filed under the name uncultured bacterium. RNAcentral describes it as "partial 16S ribosomal RNA". It matches the Rfam family "Bacterial small subunit ribosomal RNA", at positions 524 to 776 of the family's 1533-position model. The record is from RNAcentral.
UACGAAGGGGGCUAGCGUUGUUCGGAAUUACUGGGCGUAAAGCGCACGUAGGCGGCUCGAUCAGUCAGGGGUGAAAUCCCAGGGCUCAACCCUGGAACUGCCUUUGAUACUGUCGAUCUGGAGUAUGGAAGAGGUGAGUGGAAUUCCGAGUGUAGAGGUGAAAUUCGUAGAUAUUCGGAGGAACACCAGUGGCGAAGGCGGCUCACUGGUCCAUUACUGACGCUGAGACGCGAAAGCGUGGGGAGCGAACCGG